UGAGUAAGCCAGACAAUCGCGUGGAUGCUUUGACAUCCAUGAGGAAAGUCCGAGCUCCAUAGGGCAAGGGUGCCAGAUAACGUCUGGUGAAGGUGACUUCAAGGAAAGUGCAACAGAAACACACCGCCGAUGGCCGCAAGGCACAGGUAAGGUUGAAAUGGUGAGGUAAGAGCUCACCGGCAGUAUGGUAACAUACUGGCCGUGCAAACCCCACCCGGAGCAAGACCAAGCAGGGAGGUAAUUGCCAGUAAUGGCAUAUUGCCUGAAAGGCGGCGGCCCGUCGCUUCCCGGUAGGUAGGUCGCUUGAGCGUACUGGUGACAGUACGCCUAGAUAGAUGAUUGUCAAAUACAGAACUCGGCUUAUAGGCUUGCUCACACU
This 379-nucleotide RNase P RNA is filed under the name Clostridiales bacterium. RNAcentral's name for it is "RNase P RNA component class A". It matches the Rfam family "Bacterial RNase P class A". From Rfam's summary of the family: Ribonuclease P (RNase P) is a ubiquitous endoribonuclease, found in archaea, bacteria and eukarya as well as chloroplasts and mitochondria. Its best characterised activity is the generation of mature 5'-ends of tRNAs by cleaving the 5'-leader elements of precursor-tRNAs. Cellular RNase Ps are ribonucleoproteins. Lineage: Bacteria; Bacillati; Bacillota; Clostridia; Eubacteriales. RNAcentral also lists the same sequence under 1 other name. The record is from RNAcentral.